AAAAAGGCAAACCCUGGGUUUCCGUGUCCAACUUUGACUGUCCGUCUUAUAUGAAAUUUUUUUAUAAUUCGUAUUUUCAUUGUUGUUAGAUGAUAAAACAUGAUUAAUAUUUUAUACGUGACUUGUCUUUUUAUUUUUUUCAUAUUUUUUUCAAAUAAGACGAACGGUCAAACGUUGGGCACGAAAACCAGGGUUUGUCUUUUU
This 204-nucleotide microRNA precursor is filed under the name Oryza barthii. Its description in RNAcentral is "MIR812 microRNA precursor family". It matches the Rfam family "MIR812 microRNA precursor family". Lineage: Eukaryota; Viridiplantae; Streptophyta; Magnoliopsida; Poales; Poaceae. The record is from Rfam by way of RNAcentral.